CCUACGGGAGGCAGCAGUGGGGAAUCUUGCGCAAUGGGCGAAAGCCUGACGCAGCAACGCCGCGUGCGGGAUGACGGCCUUCGGGUUGUAAACCGCUUUCAGUGGGGACGAACCAAGACGGUACCCACAGAAGAAGCCCCGGCCAACUACGUGCCAGCAGCCGCGGUAACACGUAGGGGGCGAGCGUUGUCCGGAUUUAUUGGGCGUAAAGAGCUCGUAGGCGGUUCGAUAAGUCGGGUGUGAAACCUCCAGGCUCAACCUGGAGACGCCACCCGAUACUGCCGUGACUAGAGUCCAGUAGGGGAGCGUGGAAUUCCUGGUGUAGCGGUGAAAUGCGCAGAUAUCAGGAGGAACACCAGUGGCGAAGGCGGCGCUCUGGGCUGGAACUGACGCUGAGGAGCGAAAGCGUGGGGAGCGAACAGGAUUAGAUACCCUGGUAGUCCACGCCGUAAACGUUGGGUACUAGGUGUGGGGUCGUUAUCAACGGAUUACCGUGCCGCAGCUAACGACAUUAAGUAACCCCGUACCCUCGGGGGUAGGUACGGGCCCGGCCGAAGGCCGUAAAAACUACCUAAAAGGAAAGUUAGACGGG
Molecule: ribosomal RNA, 592 nt
Filed under: uncultured bacterium
Lineage: Bacteria
Description: bacterial SSU rRNA
Rfam family: Bacterial small subunit ribosomal RNA (bases 1-528)
Source: RNAcentral